GAUGAACGCUAUCUACAGGCUUAACACAUGCAAGUCGAGGGGAAACGAUAUUGGAAGCUUGCUUCCGAUAGGCGUCGACCGGCGCACGGGUGAGUAACGCGUAUCCAACCUGCCCACCCCUUGGGGAUAACCUUGCGAAAGUAAGACUAAUACCCAAUGAUAUCUCUAGAAGACAUCUGAAGGAGAUUCAAGAGUUAUCGGUGAUGGCCGGGGAUGCGUCUGAUUAGCUUGUUGGCGGGGUAACGGCCCACCAAGGCGACGAUCAGUAGGGGGGCUGGGAGGAAGGUCCCCCACAUUGGAACUGAGACACGGUCCAGACUCCUACGGGAGGCAGCAGUGAGGAAUAUUGGUCAAUGGGCGAGAGCCUGAACCAGCCAAGUAGCGUGCAGGAUGACGGCCCUAUGCGUUGUAAACUGCUUUUAUAAGGGAAUAAAGUGAGUCUCGUGAGACUUUUUGCAUGUACCUUAUGAAUAAGGACCGGCUAAUUCCGUGCCAGCAGCCGCCGUAA
This 508-nucleotide ribosomal RNA is filed under the name uncultured bacterium. Its description in RNAcentral is "partial 16S ribosomal RNA". It matches the Rfam family "Bacterial small subunit ribosomal RNA", at positions 28 to 523 of the family's 1533-position model. The record is from RNAcentral.